UCUCCUACAGAUUCUGAAACCCGUAUUAUUGCAUUCAGAAGACACUGAAUACUUUCUGUCGUCAGCAGAAGUGUGGAGACUUGCAAAUCUUAAAGUCCAUGACUUGAAGCAAAGGGGAUAGCCUGAAGCUUUUCUGCCUUCUGUUGCUUAAACAAAAAACCCCAAACUCUCCAAGUCUGCCAAAUCAGCCGUGGACUGCAGGGUGACAACAAAACGGUUCAAGUGAAUGCAAUGGUCAAAAAGUUUAUUUUAAAGUCACCACCUAUCCUGAGAAAAACAUGGAUAAACACAUCCUGAUAUCAUCCUGUAUUAAAAAAAAAUAUAUUUUCCAAUGUUGAUUUAUCAA
This is a long non-coding RNA of Chroicocephalus ridibundus (black-headed gull), 346 nucleotides long. RefSeq lists it as uncharacterized. The record is from RefSeq and is a predicted model, not a curated record. Lineage: Eukaryota; Metazoa; Chordata; Aves; Charadriiformes; Laridae. The transcript has 3 exons.